Molecule: non-coding RNA, 237 nt
Filed under: Bacteroidota bacterium
Lineage: Bacteria; Pseudomonadati; Bacteroidota
Source: RNAcentral
AUUUGCAAAAGCAUAAAUGGUGCACUCGUUCUUUAAUAAAGAAACAGUCUGAAAAGGGAAUGCCGUGCCUCGCCAACCGUAGCUUAUAGCGGAGGUGGGAAGUCGGCAACAGUACCCGCUGCUGUGAUCGCUAAUAUAUUUUUUGAAAUUCUUUUAGUCACUGUCCCGAGUCCUCAGGAUGGGAAGGCUUUCAAAAAAGGCGUAAGUCAGAAGACCUGCCAUUGAUGCAUUAAUAAA